CCUACGGGAGACAGCAGUGGGGAAUAUUGCACAAUGGGGGAAACCCUGAUGCAGCGACGCCGCGUGAGUGAAGAAGUAUCUCGGUACGUAAAGCUCUAUCAGCAGGGAAGAAAAUGACGGUACCUGACUAAUACGCCCCGUCUCACUACGUGCCAGCCGCCGCGGUGAUACGUAGGGGGCAAGCGUUAUCCGGAUUUACUGGGUGUAAAGGGAGCGUAGACGGCAGAACAAGUCUGGAGUGAAAUCCCGGGGCCUAACCCCGGAACUGCUUUGGAAACUGUUCGGCUGGAGUGCAGGAGGGGUAAGCGGAAUUCCUAGUGUAGCGGUGAAAUGCGUAGAUAUUAGGAGGAACACCGGUGGCGAAGGCGGCUUACUGGACUGUAACUGACGUUGAGGCUCGAAAGCGUGGGGAGCAAACAGGAUUAGAUACCCGUGUAGUC
Molecule: ribosomal RNA, 440 nt
Filed under: uncultured bacterium
Lineage: Bacteria
Description: partial 16S ribosomal RNA
Rfam family: Bacterial small subunit ribosomal RNA
Source: RNAcentral